AUUGAACGCUGGCGGCAUGCUUUACACAUGCAAGUCGAACGGCAGCGCGGGCUUCGGCCUGGCGGCGAGUGGCGAACGGGUGAGUAAUGCAUCGGAACGUGCCCAGUAGUGGGGGAUAGCCCGGCGAAAGCCGGAUUAAUACCGCAUACGACCUGAGGGUGAAAGCGGGGGACCGAAAGGCCUCGCGCUAUUGGAGCGGCCGGUGACGGAUUAGCUAGUUGGUGGGGUAAAGGCUUACCAAGGCGACGAUCCGUAGCUGGUCUGAGAGGACGACCAGCCACACUGGGACUGAGACACGGCCCAGACUCCUACGGGAGGCAGCAGUGGGGAAUUUUGGACAAUGGGGGCAACCCUGAUCCAGCCAUGCCGCGUGCGGGAAGAAGGCCUUCGGGUUGUAAACCGCUUUUGUUCGGGAAGAAAUCCUCUGGGCUAAUACCCCGGGGGGAUGACGGUACCGGAAGAAUAAGCACCGGCUAACUACGUG
This 484-nucleotide ribosomal RNA is filed under the name uncultured bacterium. RNAcentral's name for it is "partial 16S ribosomal RNA". It matches the Rfam family "Bacterial small subunit ribosomal RNA", at positions 28 to 507 of the family's 1533-position model. The record is from RNAcentral.